Long non-coding RNA from Beta vulgaris subsp. vulgaris (sugar beet), 369 nucleotides. RefSeq lists it as uncharacterized. The record is from RefSeq and is a predicted model, not a curated record. NCBI's taxonomy places the organism in Eukaryota, Viridiplantae, Streptophyta, Magnoliopsida, Caryophyllales, Amaranthaceae. The transcript has 2 exons.
GCCGCCGGAGCUCCGGAGAUCUACGGCCGUCGCUGGUCUGUUCCCACCGCCGGCAUCCCGCGCCGUCAUCUGCGCCGCUCGCUGGAGUUCGCCCAGCCCGUGUUUUUCGUCCCUGCUCAAGAGAGCAGAGAUUAAGGAAGAUAAAGGAUAUUACAAGCCUCCCCCGGCUAUCAAGGUUAUUAAGCAGGAAUCCAGGUACCGAUGGUGAUAACGGGAUGGCGUAGCAGUGAGGAUUUAAUUAAUAUCUAGAUUAUCUAGACUCUCAUGGUUUUAAUUUAAGUUUAUGUCAAAACUCUGAUUAGUAACUAAGUUUCUAUUAAUCAAGACUAAUGUUGGAUCUAUAUUAUGCUUCAUGUUAUAAAUGUUUAA